GCGCGCUUAGCUCAGUGGUAGAGCACUUCCUUCACACGGAAGGGGUCCAAGGUUCGAACCCUUGAGCGCGCACCA
RNAcentral lists this transfer RNA (75 nucleotides) under Verrucomicrobiota bacterium. Its description in RNAcentral is "tRNA-Val". It matches the Rfam family "tRNA". Rfam says of the family: Transfer RNA (tRNA) molecules are approximately 80 nucleotides in length. RNAcentral also lists the same sequence under 1 other name. Lineage: Bacteria; Pseudomonadati; Verrucomicrobiota. The record is from RNAcentral.